Mesocricetus auratus (golden hamster) is the source of this 1040-nucleotide long non-coding RNA. RefSeq lists it as uncharacterized. The record is from RefSeq and is a predicted model, not a curated record. Lineage: Eukaryota; Metazoa; Chordata; Mammalia; Rodentia; Cricetidae. The transcript is spliced from 3 exons.
AGAUGUAACGCCAUGGGGUAGGAGCCCGGAACUAUUCUCCGGUGUUGCGGUUUGAGUGACCCCCAAGGCUCACGUGUGUACCACCGGAUCCAGUCCCAGGAAUUGCUCUGCAAGGUUGUGGAGUCUUUGAGAUGGGGACCUAACGGGAAGACGUCAGUCACCGGACCCAGGGGCUACUCUCUUUUCCUAUUGCCGCGGUAAAACGCCCAGCGAAAGCAAUGUGAGAUGGAAGGAUUUAGUUGGACUCCUGAUUUAAGGAUUCUGUCGUGGUGGGGGAAAGCAUGAAGGCCAUUCACGUGACACAUGGCAUCUGCAGUCAGGAAGCAGCGAGAGAUGAACGCUGGCCCUCAGCCCGCUUUCCCUUUCCUUCAGUUUGGGACCCUGCCACAACUGUCCACAUUCAGGACGACUCUUCCCUCCCAGGUGUCCCUGAUGACAUUCUGAAGAUGACUGUGGACUCCAGCGGCCCUGAACUCCUCCUAUAGCUUUCAUUGGAGCUCCUUUCCGAGGACUAACCCCACAAGUUGAGAGAGGUUCUGGUCACUUGACUUGUCCAUGAGACUCCUGUCCCGUCUACCCCCCCCCUCCCCGCGGCUGCCCAUUUCCCGGUGCGAUUCUCUCGUUUUCACUCUGCACAGGCUCUCACAUCCGGACCCCUCAAGGGGCCGCCUCUGCGCCCCGUCAUCCUUCUCCCUGGAAAGGUCAUGCCCACUUCGUUAUUUAUUUAACACCCCCAAACGCAGCGCACACCUUGUGUCCUGUCUUCCCUCCUCUAGGGCACCCAGCGACUCCAGCUGAGAACCGCAGAGGGACCGUGAAGCCCUCGUUUCCCUGCUUGCCAUGGUGUGGCCCUGGUCACGGUUCUCACAGCUCCAACCAGCUCCCGCGAAAAGCGCACAUGAGGGUGGCCGGUCCACCUAGUCCACCUCGGUGUCAAUAGCCCAGUUUGGCACCGGUGAUCAAACGAUAGGAUGCCCGUGCGUAGCUCUGGGAACGGGAGAUAGGCGAGCCACUUUGAGACCAAUCUGGAAAUUAAAAUA